Molecule: non-coding RNA, 113 nt
Organism: Pteropus vampyrus (large flying fox)
Lineage: Eukaryota; Metazoa; Chordata; Mammalia; Chiroptera; Pteropodidae
Source: Rfam
CCCUUUGGACUUUUCCUCUAGGUUCGGUGCUAACCUCUCCUGUGAGCGCACUCUACCCCUCCUCCCUUUAACUCUCUCGAGGUUGUCCGUUCUCUUAAAAUAUUGCUUCUGGU